Zea mays is the source of this 1299-nucleotide RNA transcript. RefSeq lists it as uncharacterized. NCBI's taxonomy places the organism in Eukaryota, Viridiplantae, Streptophyta, Magnoliopsida, Poales, Poaceae. The transcript is spliced from 8 exons. The record is from RefSeq and is a predicted model, not a curated record.
AUUUCCAGUUAAGUUUCUUCUGAUGGUGAUGGUACUAAAGAGGACUAUGUUCAUAUCCGGGCAAAGCGAGGCCAAGCCACUAACAGCCACAGCCUUGCAGAAAGACUGGGGAGAAAGAAGAUAAGUGAGAGGAUGAAGCUUCUUCAAGAUCUUGUUCCUGAAUGCAGUAAGAUCACUGGCAAGGCAGUCAUGCUCGAUGAGAUUAUCAACUAUGUGCAGUCCUUGCAACGACAAGUCGAGAUCAUAUCCAAACAAGUAAAGCCACCCACUCGAUCACCAUAUCUCCCUCUAGGAUCAAGCGGCCUUACUGGCCCAUUUAACCAAGGAAUCAUGCAGCCAUAAUUGAUGUGCACCAUUGCCAAUCCCGUUGAUGUUUUGCACGGAGCUAUUCACGACGCGUCAACAAUGAACCAUUAUCGAUUUGUCUACUGUUAUGUUCGUUGCUGGUGCAAUCAUGGGAUACAUUAUGUUCAUUGAAUCUACACUCCCAGUUCACACUGAACUUACCCCUAAAUCUUGUGGCUUCCAAGAUUGCAGUCUAGACUACGGUGAUGAAUCCAAUAACCAAAUAUCCUUGGACUUUUAUUGUAGCUUUUUGUGUGCAUUUGUUCCGAUACUUAACAAUUAACAUUAUAUGACACCUUAGUUUCUCUAAUCACAUGUAACUCCAUCUAGCCAUCUAGGUUUGUCCUAAGUCAAACAUAUCUUUUAAUUUUGAUUAGAAAUAUCUAUAAAAAGUAAUUGUCUUAAAUAAGCAGAGUUAUUUGGUUUUAGUAAUGAAUUUAGCAAUGCCAAUGCUAUUUUUAUCGUUCUAUAUAAAUUUUAGAUAUUCAUGGUCAAACUUAAAAAUGUUUGACUUGGACAAAUAUAGAUAGACCUACACAUGCAUUGUGAUUUUAGGAAGUCCUACAAUUCUCCUCCCCAAAGUCUGCUAUCAACUUCUAACAGUUAGUCCAGUUUUCAUGAACAAAUUUAGUUUUAAUCAUUCUAUGUUGUGCCAACCGCCAGCAACUAAUAAUCAGAGCUGGGUCAUAUCAUCAUAUCAUAGUAGAUUAUAUAGCUUUCUUCCCUGUGCAUGCUUACUGGUUACUAGAUGAAAAAGGCCGUGUUACGUUAUGGCGCACUCCUCUCCUUUGAAUAGGACAUGCCUUCACACUCUCAAUUCGGCAUAUCCUUCUAGAGACUAGCUCACACUCCAAUGGUCUUCUAAAUGAAUAGCACGUUAUAGUCAAGAGUAUGACUUACCAAAUUCAUUAUUGGUUUCCAAGCAUCUUGAAAGAGAAGUCCAUCGUCUCUCUU